CUCGUCCGUCCCGUGGACGGCCUGACCAUACGGUGCCGGUCCCGGCUACCCUGGCCGCGUGCGCCCGCUGUGGGAAGCCCCACGGCAGGACGCAAAGCCGACAGCCGUCGCACCCAAAGGGAGCCCUUUCAUG
Streptomyces sp. is the source of this 133-nucleotide non-coding RNA. The record is from Rfam. Lineage: Bacteria; Bacillati; Actinomycetota; Actinomycetes; Kitasatosporales; Streptomycetaceae.